RNAcentral lists this ribosomal RNA (496 nucleotides) under uncultured bacterium. Its description in RNAcentral is "bacterial SSU rRNA". It matches the Rfam family "Bacterial small subunit ribosomal RNA", at positions 28 to 517 of the family's 1533-position model. The record is from RNAcentral.
GAUGAACGCUAGCGGCAGGCUUAAUACAUGCAAGUCGAGGGGCAGCGCGGGUAGCAAUACCUGGCGGCGACCGGCAAACGGGUGCGGAACACGUACGCAACCUUCCUCCGAGCGGGGCAUAGCCCAGAGAAAUUUGGAUUAAUACCCCAUAUCAUAGUUAAGAAGCAUUUCUUGAUUAUUAAAGAUUUAUCACUUGGAGAUGGGCGUGCGGCUGAUUAGGUAGUUGGCGGGGUAACGGCCCACCAAGCCUGCGAUCAGUAACUGGUGUGAGAGCACGACCAGUCACACGGGCACUGAGACACGGGCCCGACUCCUACGGGAGGCAGCAGUAAGGAAUAUUGGUCAAUGGACGCAAGUCUGAACCAGCCAUGCCGCGUGGAGGAUGAAGGUCCUCUGGAUUGUAAAACUUCUUUUAUCUGGGAAGAAACCCCACGUUUUCUAAUGUGGCUGACGGUACCAGAUGAAUAAGCACCGGCUAACUCCGUGCCAGCCGCCG